GGUGGUUUCUCUUCCCACAGAAGCUCCUUGAAGAGGCAAGCCAGUAACAGUAGCGCGUGGGCUCGAAGCUCCAUGGUGCUCUAAAUCGAAGUCGCCGGAUAGAAGAACCAAAGCCUUGGAGCCUUGAGAUCAGUUAGAAAGCUCUUCAUGAGGAAGCCGUCUAUGUCGGGGGGAUCAAGGAAGACGCUGGACCGUCGCCGGCUGAACAAAUUGAGGAGGAAGAAGGCUGGGCUGGCCGACAUUGCCACAGGGUUCUGCAUGAAUGGUCUGGCUGAAGCUUGCGGCCAGUGGCGAGAUGAUGUGAAGAAGGAACUAGGCGGAGAAGGAUUCGGUUCUAUGUUUGACAUCAAGCGGCCCCACAGGUUCAGUAGGAAGUUGGCGUUACAUCUAAUGUUGAAGAUGGAUCAUGCCAGUAUGGAGAUAGACUUCGGUGAUGGCCGAAAAUUGAAGCUGACGAAAGAGUACAUGGCGCAUGCGACUGGGCUCCCGGAUAAGGGCGCGAGGGUCGUUGCUCCGAAUCCUGAAAGACGCAGGUUGCUUCUGAAGAAGGUACAUAGGGUGUUGAAGACGGGGACCAAGGAGACGCAACUACCCUCCAUUGAAACGCUAAUCAAAAAUCUUGAAAGAAGCAAAUGAAUUGGAGCUAAAUCCGUCGAACAAGGCGCGACUGAUGACGGUAUCCGGGUCUUCAGUGGCGCCGGAGGUGCUGGUUGAGAACCCAGUCAGCAGUUGUGCUCGGCAGCACUUGUACGCUAGACGGGUGCCUGCUGAAGCUGCAGGUAGAAACGUGUAACGAGCUUUUGGUUUUUUUAUAAUGAUGAAUUGCAAAUAAUAGAGAGAAAUUAAAUUUAAUCUCCUUUCGUA
Brachypodium distachyon (stiff brome) is the source of this 864-nucleotide long non-coding RNA. RefSeq lists it as uncharacterized. The record is from RefSeq and is a predicted model, not a curated record. The transcript is spliced from 2 exons. Lineage: Eukaryota; Viridiplantae; Streptophyta; Magnoliopsida; Poales; Poaceae.